AGGGCGGUGCAAGAUGUGCUUUGUUAAAC
Molecule: non-coding RNA, 29 nt
Filed under: Homo sapiens (human)
Lineage: Eukaryota; Metazoa; Chordata; Mammalia; Primates; Hominidae
Source: RNAcentral